RNAcentral lists this ribosomal RNA (256 nucleotides) under uncultured bacterium. Its description in RNAcentral is "partial 16S ribosomal RNA". It matches the Rfam family "Bacterial small subunit ribosomal RNA", at positions 29 to 289 of the family's 1533-position model. The record is from RNAcentral.
AUUAACGCUGGCGGCGUGCAUGAGACAUGCAAGUCGAACGGACGGGCGAGCUUGCUCGCCCGUUAGUGGCGGACGGCUGAGUAACGCGUGGGUGACCUGCCCCGAAGUGGGGAAUAACUGCCCGAAAGGGUGGCUAAUACCGCAUGUGGUGACUGGUUCGUUCCAGUCUCCAAAGCCGCAAGGCGCUUCGGGAGGGGCCUGCGUCCGAUUAGCUCGUUGGUGGGGUAACGCUCACCAAGGCGACGAUCGGUAGGUG